GAUGAACGCUGGCGGCGUGCCUAAUACAUGCAAGUCGAGCGAACAGACGAGGAGCUUGCUCCUCUGACGUUAGCGGCGGACGGGUGAGUAACACGUGGAUAACCUACCUAUAAGACUGGGAUAACUUCGGGAAACCGGAGCUAAUACCGGAUAAUAUAUUGAACCGCAUGGUUCAAUAGUGAAAGACGGUUUUGCUGUCACUUAUAGAUGGAUCCGCGCCGCAUUAGCUAGUUGGUAAGGUAACGGCUUACCAAGGCAACGAUGCGUAGCCGACCUGAGAGGGGGAUGGGCCACCCUGGAACUGAGACAGGGUCCAGAAUCCUACGGGGGGCAACAGUGGGGAUUUUUCGGCAAGGGGCGAAAGCUUGACGGAGAAACGCGGGGGGAGUGAGAAAGGGUUUCGGAUCGUAAAACUCUUUUAUGAGGGAAGAAAAAAGGUUUAAGUAACUUGGCACUUCUUGCCGGACCCUAAUAAGAAAGCCCCGGCUAACUACGU
This 496-nucleotide ribosomal RNA is filed under the name uncultured bacterium. Its description in RNAcentral is "partial 16S ribosomal RNA". It matches the Rfam family "Bacterial small subunit ribosomal RNA", at positions 28 to 506 of the family's 1533-position model. The record is from RNAcentral.